GACGAACGCUGGCGGCGUGCCUAAUACAUGCAAGUUGAGCGCUGAAGGUUGGUACUUGUACCAACUGGAUGAGCAGCGAACGGGUGAGUAACGCGUGGGGAAUCUGCCUUUGAGCGGGGGACAACAUUUGGAAACGAAUGCUAAUACCGCAUAAAAACUUUAAACACAAGUUUUAAGUUUGAAAGAUGCAAUUGCAUCACUCAAAGAUGAUCCCGCGUUGUAUUAGCUAGUUGGUGAGGUAAAGGCUCACCAAGGCGAUGAUACGUAGCCGACCUGAGAGGGUGAUCGGCCACAUUGGGACUGAGACACGGCCCAAACUCCUACGGGGGGCAGCAGUAGGGAAUCUUCGGCAAUGGACGAAAGUCUGACCGAGCAACGCCGCGUGAGUGAAGAAGGUUUUCGGAUCGUAAAACUCGGUUGGUAGAGAAGAACGUUGGUGAGAGUGGAAAGCUCAUCAAGUGACGGUAACUACCCAGAAAGGGACGGCUAACUACGUG
RNAcentral lists this ribosomal RNA (497 nucleotides) under uncultured bacterium. Its description in RNAcentral is "partial 16S ribosomal RNA". It matches the Rfam family "Bacterial small subunit ribosomal RNA", at positions 28 to 507 of the family's 1533-position model. The record is from RNAcentral.